This is a long non-coding RNA of Pungitius pungitius (ninespine stickleback), 254 nucleotides long. RefSeq lists it as uncharacterized. The record is from RefSeq and is a predicted model, not a curated record. The transcript has 3 exons. NCBI's taxonomy places the organism in Eukaryota, Metazoa, Chordata, Actinopteri, Perciformes, Gasterosteidae.
GUCGGGGAGGAUAAACACCGCCCAAUGCCUCCCCCGAUGAAGCCGGGCCGACGUUCGACUCUUCAUCGCGAGCAGAGAUGAUCUGCAGGAUCCUGGUGAUCUUCAUCCCGACCUCCUGUGUCUGUGCAGGGUCAUUUGUAGUGAAUGUGACACAGAGCUGGUAUCAGGCAGAGGAGAACCAGAACAUCUCACUGGAAUGGACGUUCCCCACCAGCACGGACCCCUCCCCCAACUCCCUUUAUAUCUCCUGCAAG